Molecule: long non-coding RNA, 1435 nt
Organism: Pan troglodytes (chimpanzee)
Lineage: Eukaryota; Metazoa; Chordata; Mammalia; Primates; Hominidae
Exons: 5
Source: RefSeq, a predicted model, not a curated record
CAGGCCCAAAGACAGUCAGACAGACCUGGACUUUUCCUCAUCGCGGGCUGGAGCAGCUGAAAAGUAGAAUAAGUAGAGAUCAAUGUCUCUAGCAAGAAACAUCAGGUUAUAACCACCAGGGCUGACUGAGGCAGUUUAGAUGAAUGCUUUGAAGUCAGGAAAUGACCUCACUGGGAUAUGACACCUCAUUGGAAGCAAUGGAAACCUGGACCAUCCAUUCUCCACUUUCCCUUCCAUUUCUCCAUUCAGAAAUAUAUCAGUGUCCUUAUUCUCCUGUAAAAGAAUACAAGCUGAAACGCUUUCAGGUGACAGUAUUGCUCAACAUAAAAACUAAAGAGAAAGAAAAGCAGUAUGGCUGGGACAUAAUGGAUGAGAAAAAAUGGAUAUUUAAUGAAUUUAGCCUUUUGUGCUGGCACAAAAUCAUACUGGAAAUUAUAGACCACAGUAAGUGGGUGUCAUCAGACAACAGAUGUAUCAUGUCUACACAAUACGAUGAGUAGAAGUGCCUAAAUCAAUCAUGUAGCAUGAGGAUAUAGCUGAUCCAUGCUGCAUUCCAGAUGUGGACCCUGAUGUGCAGAAACUUAAGUCAAUUGCCCAAGGUCGCAUUGCUGGUAUCUCCAUUUGUUAUGCUUGGAAAGUGAGAAAGCAUUCAACUGGCAAAGGAAGUGAACAAAAACAAGAUCAAGAAUAAACAUGACUUAAUUAAAAUCAUAAUGAGAUAUCAUCUUACCCCAGUCAGAAUGUCUCUUAUUAAAAAAAAAAAUGAAAACAAAAACAGAUGCUGGCGAGGAUGCAGAGAAUGGAGAAAUCUUACACACCGUUGGCUGGAAUGUAAAGCAGUACAACAUUUAUGGAAAACAGCAUGAAGAUUUCUCUAAGAACUAAAAGAACUACCCUUUGAUCCAACAAUCUACUAAUGGGUAUGUACCCAAAGGAAAAUAAAUCGUUGUAUCAAAAAUAUACCUUUACACAUAUGUGUAUUUCAGGCUAUUCACAAUAGAAAAGUAAUGCAAUUAACCUAUGUUUCCAUAAACAAGAGAUUGGAUAAAGAAAAUGUGACACACACACACACACACAUAUAUAUAUAUAUAUACACACACACACACAAUGAAAUACUGUUCAGCCAUAAAACAAUAAAAUCACAUCUUCUACAGCAACAUGAAUGGAACUGGAAGUCAUUAUCUUAAGUGAAACAAAUCAUACACAGAAAGAGAAUUACUGCAAGUUCUUACAUAAGUGGGAACUAAAUAUUGUGUACACGUGAACGUAGAGAGUGGAAUGUCAGGCAAUGGAUGCUUGAAAGGAUGAGGGGGUGGAUGAUGAGAAAUUACGUUAUUUGUACAAUGUAUGUUAUUUGAGUGUUGAAUACCCUAAAGGUUGUGACAUUAUCACUAUGUGUCUAUGCAUUCAACAAAAUUACACUUGUCCCUCAUAA